UGGGGAAUAUUGCACAAUGGGCGCAAGCCUGAUGCAGCCAUGCCGCGUGAGUGAAGAAGGCCCUAGGGUUGUAAAACUCUUUCACCGGUGAAGAUAAUGACGGUAGCCGGAGAAGAAGCCCCGGCCAACUCCGUGCCAGCAGCCGCGGUAAUACGGAGGGGGCUAGCGUUGUUCGGAAUUACUGGGCGUAAAGCGCGCGUAGGCGGACUGGUCAGUCGGGGGUGAAAUCCCGAGGCUCAACCUCGGAACUGCCCUCGAUACUACCAGUCUUGAGUUCGAGAGAGGUGAGUGGAAUUCCUAGUGUAGAGGUGAAAUUCGUAGAUAUUAGGAAGAACACCAGUGGCGAAGGCGGCUCACUGGCUCGAUACUGACGCUGAGGCGCGAAAGCGUGGGGAGCAAACAGGAUUAGAUACCCCCGUAGUCC
This 424-nucleotide ribosomal RNA is filed under the name uncultured prokaryote. RNAcentral describes it as "bacterial SSU rRNA". It matches the Rfam family "Bacterial small subunit ribosomal RNA", at positions 355 to 796 of the family's 1533-position model. The record is from RNAcentral.